Molecule: transfer RNA, 75 nt
Filed under: Candidatus Atribacter fermentans
Lineage: Bacteria; Pseudomonadati; Atribacterota; Atribacteria; Atribacterales; Atribacteraceae
Description: tRNA-Val
Rfam family: tRNA
About the family: Transfer RNA (tRNA) molecules are approximately 80 nucleotides in length.
Source: RNAcentral
GCGCGAUUAACUCAGCGGGAGAGUGCCAUCCUCACACGGUGGAAGUCGCUGGUUCGAAUCCAGCAUCGCGCACCA